Punica granatum (pomegranate) is the source of this 2238-nucleotide non-coding RNA. The record is from RefSeq and is a predicted model, not a curated record. NCBI's taxonomy places the organism in Eukaryota, Viridiplantae, Streptophyta, Magnoliopsida, Myrtales, Lythraceae.
UACAAAGCAAAGCAGUCAUCACAAUGGGCCCAGUUCAGUUCUUAUGGGCCGAAUUUGGACACAAAUACAGGCCCGACCAUAAAAGCCCAUGAGACCAUAUGCUGAAUAGUGGGGAAUGAACGAGAUGGAACUCCUUGAUUCUAGCGUGUUCACUUCGUGGGAAUAGAUACAGAUGGUGUAAGCAUAUGAAUAUCUAAAGGGUAAGAGUCGAGAAUUCUUGGAGAUAAAUAUUCCCAACCAAAAGAAAGAUAGAAAGAGGACAAAAAGAGACAUUCCGAGGUAGAUUGGAUCGGGCGGACAAGCUCGGUCGCGUGUCAUCAUUUCGCUCACUUUUCUAAAUGAACCAGGUACCUUCUAGUACGUUGAGUUUAUGAUGAUAAUCCUAUUACCUAUUACUGCUAAACUAACUCUUCUUUCUACUCUCCUCAGGCCUCGAGUAUCAUUUUCACUUUGACGAUUACGAUGCGCUCAUUUCUUAUGCGCAUCUUAUGCUUUCAUAUCAACCGACAAGUGCUCGCUUAGGAUACCACACAGACGGCAUAAUCCGAAUUUAAGACCGAGGCGGAUGGCAUUUGGUUCCAACCCCUUGAGAGCAAAUACUGGUGUAAAUAUGAGAAGGGAUGAGGAAAGAAUUUAUGCUGCCAAAAUCUAUAAAUAGCAAACGCAUGAAAUCUGCAGGAAUCAUUACCUUCAAAAGAAGCCGAGAGAGAGAGAUCGGAAAACAAAAUAGACUUGUUGCCUUUAUUGGGUCAAAACAGAACACUCUGUUUUCUCUGUCUAUAUUCCAAUCCCCUCCUUGGAAGUUCCCAACACUCUCAUUCUGAGUCAUUUGCAUCCCCUGGAUUCCCCAUGAGCCCAGAUAAGAAUUUCUCGUCGUCACAUACGACGAUCGUAGUAUUCGCUCUCCAUUCUCAGAUCAAAGAACUGGUCAGUGCCCAAAAUUUCAUUGCACACGACUCCGCGUUUGAGUUGAGAAAGCUCGGGCAUUUCAGAGGUCCAACAUCAGCAAGAUAGCAAGUUUCUUCCGGGUGAUUGAGCUCUGCAUCGUUCUGGCACUGAUCUUGAGGCUUUCAACUCAAGUUACAGCUACUGUUAAGAACUCUGGUGAGUAUUUCAGGGGAUUGAAGGUCGUGCUCGUGAGUCCUAUCUUUGUGUUUGUGCUCGGGAACAUGAUAGUUGUCAUUCUUUUGGCAAAACCGAGGAAACUUUUGGCUCAUGAUUCUGCCAUGAAGAUGGAUCGGUUCUACGAGGAAUGCGCAGAGAAAUCUCGAAUAGGACAAAAUCAAGAAGCGGAUGCUCACAGAAGGAACGAGACUUACAGGAAAAUCCGAUCCGAAAAAUUCAGUCAAAAGAAGGAUCAGAAACUAACCCGUGCACUGCAUCAAUCGAAGUCCGAGAAAUGCAUGAAAAGUUUUGAUCCUGGUGAGAAAUCAGAGAGAGCUGCAUUUUGUGAGGAUGCCAUGAGCAACGAAGAGUUUCGCAGGACGAUUGAGGAAUUCAUUGCUCGGCAGCAGAAGUUUCGAAUGGAAGAGGAGCAUAUUGCAAACUGAAAUCUUACAAUAAAUCGAUCACGAAAUACUGUAUGAUGUUUCUAGUUACACAAGUAUCAUAACUAUACCAUCAUAUGAACGUCAUGCAUUAAAAACCAUCAUUAGGUUCCAGUACCGUCAGCAUCUUUGCGUAUGUACAUUUUCUGCUUUGCAAGGGAAAGAAUAAUUUGCCCGACAAAACCGAGCAGCAAGUUCCGAUACCGAAACUUAUCAGGUAGAUGAUGCGAUCGGAUAAGGUGAUCAGAAGUUUUGAGGAAAGAUUAGAUGGAGGGGAAUUUUCUGCAAGGUGCUGUUAUAUAUUCUUUCCAUCUUUCCAGGAGGAAAGAACAUAACUUAAGUCAGGGAAGAAUAUGUGCCCAAUCCACCUCUAUUAUGUAUAUGCCUCGACACUCGGCCACAAAAGAAAAGUUCAGAAAAAAAAUGAUUUUCUUUUCCUCAUAGGUCUUCUUUUCAUUUUCAGUUGAUGUUCUAUAUGGGCAUUGUACCGCAAUGUCUCACGUUCGGUCGUCAACCCAUCAACAUAUAGCUCGACGACAGUUUUCUUUUCAUUGGCAUGAGGGCAAGUAGGUUGAGCUUUAAACACCAUCACAAAGCAUCAAAGUAUGCAUAAAAAAUUCCAUGGUGUUACUCUUAACACUGAUUUUCUUCCAACUUUUCCUUUCGCAUUGUUGUACAUCCAAUCAUCCAA